CGCCUCAUCCGGGCCAUGUAGGCGCCAAAGUGGCAAGUUGUUGCUUAGCAACGCUAUUCCUAUAAUCGAGGUGAUAGACGAAUUCUUAAACCAUUUACAAGCAUGGUAUUAGAGACUGGACGGUGGAAUUCGGGAUGAAGGAGAAGAAUUUGCUACCUGCUUUGGAAGAAUAGCUAGAGUGAGGUAACAACGAGGUAUUUGCUCAGCCACGUUCAUCACAUUCAUCAUAACAGCUAGGAAAUAGAAACAACCUAGUUGUCCUUCAACUGAUGAAAGGAUAAUGAAAAUGUGGUAUGUAUACACAAUGG
Peromyscus leucopus (white-footed mouse) is the source of this 308-nucleotide long non-coding RNA. RefSeq lists it as uncharacterized. Lineage: Eukaryota; Metazoa; Chordata; Mammalia; Rodentia; Cricetidae. The record is from RefSeq and is a predicted model, not a curated record. The transcript is spliced from 3 exons.